RNAcentral lists this ribosomal RNA (494 nucleotides) under uncultured bacterium. RNAcentral describes it as "bacterial SSU rRNA". It matches the Rfam family "Bacterial small subunit ribosomal RNA", at positions 58 to 507 of the family's 1533-position model. The record is from RNAcentral.
CAAGUCGAACGCAUUGUGGUUGAAAUGAUAUGAAGAACUUGUUCAGAUUUGAUUUCAACAUUGCAAUGAGUGGCGAACGGGUGAGUAACACGUGGGAAACCUACCUCUUAGCAGGGGAUAACAUUUGGAACAAAUGCUAAUACCGUAUAAUAAUUAAAACCGCAUGGUUUUAGUUUAAAAGAUGGUCUUGCUAUCACUAAGAGAUGGUCCCGCGGUGUAUUAGUCAGUUGGUGAGGGUAAUGGCUCACCAAGACAAUGAUACAUAGCCGAGUUGAGAGACUGACCGGCCACAAUGGGACUGAGACACGGCCCAUACUCCUACGGGAGGCAGCAGUAGGGAAUCUUCCACAAUGGACGAAAGUCUGAUGGAGCAACGCCGCGUGUGUGAUGAAGGGUUUCGGCUCGUAAAACACUGUUGUAAGAGAAGAAUGGCAUUGAGAGUAACUGUUCAAUGUGUGACGGUAUCUUACCAGAAAGGAACGGCUAAAUACGUG